UUUGAAUGUCCUCCUUAAGACCAGCUCUAAACCUAGAUAGGGUUACGGCUUCUGACUCGACUAUGUUGCACCUCAUAGCGAACUCAUCAAAUUUGGCAAUGUACUCAGAUACAGUUUUUCCUAUUUGAUUUAAUCUUUGCCAUUGAUCUAGUAACCUCUGUUCGUAGGAUAAUGGGACGUAUUUCUCUCUUAGCUUAAUUUUCAUCUGUCUCCAUGUAUUGAUAGGUAGUUCUUCUCUUUGCCUAGUGAUCCUCUCAAUAUUUCCCCAGUAUAACCUUGCAUGUCGUGUCAACCUAAGCUUGGCAAAUUUGAAUUUUCUUUCUUCCGACUCAUACCACUCAAAAUAUUGAUCCAUGUCAUUUUUCCAAUCAAUGUAUACCUUAGGGUCUAGACUUCCUUCGAAGGAGGGUGCAUCAAGUCUGAUACUCCUAA
Molecule: long non-coding RNA, 432 nt
Filed under: Phoenix dactylifera (date palm)
Lineage: Eukaryota; Viridiplantae; Streptophyta; Magnoliopsida; Arecales; Arecaceae
Description: long non-coding RNA (PDAC_LNC022935)
Source: RNAcentral